UUAACAGAAAUUGCAGAGGUAAAAAUUACCUGUCUCCAUGAUUGUCACCUCUAGAGGGCAAUCAGUGAGCCUGUGAGCCCUUCCGUGUCACUCAUUGUAUGAUGCAACUUCCUGUAGUGUGGAAGAAGAGAAACUCCCCUUCCGGUUUUGUCGGUCCAUGCGUGGCAAUGCGAACACACGCGGAGAACCUGUUGAUCAAUCCUUGGCCAUCCACUCGAGCAGUGUGACAUCAGAGUGUAAUAUUCACUGACUGACAUCUUGUGUGCAGUCAUUUCACUUGAUCAGCGCUGGAGCUGCAGGCACUUCUGUUAACCCCUCUGCUGGCAGCACACUCAGACACACCUCUGCUCGCGCUGAGCACAACACACCCACACAGCAACAAGCCUGCAAACAAUCAGUCAUCAGAGCACCUGGACUUGACGAGGGGGAGCGGCAUAAAGACCAGCGGACCCAAGGAACCUUUGCCAGAACGUCGCUAACCUACCAGUAAGCAUCACGUCCGGCAUUCCUUUCCCAGUGAUUUCCUUGUCCUUGUUUUGCUCUCUCUCCGUGUUUCCCCCUGGUUCAUGCCCUUUUGUAUUUCCACAUUGACUCUCCUGACCUCCGUGAUCGUGCCUUGUCACUCGACACCCAUCUGGAUUCCUAACUGCCCUCCUCGAUCCACGACCUCCCUGCUCGGACCUAGACCACGCUGCCCUGCUCUUGCCCACGACCACUUGCCUGUCCACGAACUGCCUCUUCGCCUUUCCCCUUGGAUAACGACGAAAGAUACAACCAACAUUUACAGACAACAACCCUUGGUAACAUUUACAUUGUUAAUUUUACACGUAGUCAACACUCACUCACUUUGAGUAGCAUACACACGCCACAUAUUCAUCAAAGGUUUCAAAUAA
Long non-coding RNA from Entelurus aequoreus (snake pipefish), 893 nucleotides. RefSeq lists it as uncharacterized. Lineage: Eukaryota; Metazoa; Chordata; Actinopteri; Syngnathiformes; Syngnathidae. The record is from RefSeq and is a predicted model, not a curated record. The transcript has 3 exons.